Molecule: ribosomal RNA, 826 nt
Filed under: Glyphoglossus minutus
Lineage: Eukaryota; Metazoa; Chordata; Amphibia; Anura; Microhylidae
Description: partial 16S rRNA
Rfam family: Bacterial large subunit ribosomal RNA
Source: RNAcentral
UACAAUAAUUUCACUAAUUUACCAAAACCCUUAUCUCGUACUGAGUGACUUCAUAACAAUAUGAAAAACCAUAUGCUAGAACUAGUAACAAGAAGAAGACCUUCUCCAAAAUGUAUGUAUAAGCCAAAAUGAACAAAUCAUCGGCACUUAUCGUCUAUGAGCCAAUAGUAGUAACUCAACAAGAAAAACCUACUACCCAUAACGUUAACCUAACACCAGAACAUUUCAGGAAAGAUUAAAAGAAAGGGAAGGAACUCGGCAAAUAAUAACCUCGCCUGUUUACCAAAAACAUCGCCUCCUGAACCCACCAUAGGAGGUCCAGCCUGCCCAGUGACUAAGUUAAACGGCCGCGGUACCCUAACCGUGCAAAGGUAGCGCAAUCACUUGUUCUUUAAAUGAGGACUAGUAUGAAUGGCAUCACGAGGGUUAUACUGUCUCCCCCAUCUAAUCAGUGAAACUGACCUUCCCGUGAAGAAGCGGGAAUGAAAAUAUAAGACGAGAAGACCCCAUGGAGCUUUAAACUCAACAUCAACUGCUUUUACAAACAACCUAUUAACCCGGCAGUCCUGACAGUUAGUUUUCGGUUGGGGUGACCGCGGAGUAAAACAAAACCUCCACGAUGAACGGGACUAUCCCUAAUCCAAGAGCUACAGCUCUAAGAAUCUAUAAAUUGACAAAACUUGACCCAAAUACUUUUUGAUCAACGAACCAAGUUACCCUGGGGAUAACAGCGCAAUCCAUUUCAAGAGCCCAUAUCGACAAAUGGGUUUACGACCUCGAUGUUGGAUCAGGGUAUCCAAGUGGCGCAGCCGCUACUAACGGUUCG